Molecule: long non-coding RNA, 847 nt
Filed under: Equus caballus (horse)
Lineage: Eukaryota; Metazoa; Chordata; Mammalia; Perissodactyla; Equidae
Description: lncRNA (ENSECAG00000042751.2)
Source: RNAcentral
AAUAACUAACACUGGGUUUUAACUCGAGAACGCUCUAGGUUCCUUUCUGCUCCAAUAGCAUUAUGUAACUCAUGCUAAGCCUCUCCUAAAGCUGCUACCACAGGAGCAGUGAAAAAGCCCAAGUACCAAAUUAGCCAGAGAUUUCUUAUAAGUUGACAGCUUUCUCAAGCCACAAAAUGCUUCGGGUACAGGUUUCCCUUCAGGAAAGUCAGACUCAUAUCCUUGGAAGGAAUUAAAAUGUUUGUCAAGCAGGCUCCUCCUCAUAAAAAAUGCCCGUCCCGACAUUUUCCAAGGGUGCGCUGGAGGGAGGAGCACACCAGCUGGAGCCAAAUGGACUCUCUAAAUUGAGGAGAUGAUGCUGGGAGCCUAGGGUCAGAAAUGAGGAGGCGGAAAGAGUCGAGAAAUCAGAGGUUUCCCAGCAAGGUCAAAGCAAGUGCCCUGACCCAGACAAUGGAGCUUGCUGUGGAGCUGUGGGUCCUGGAGACCCAGGCUUCAGCCCUGACUUCGACACUUUCCUCAGUGCCCACCUUUCAUCUGGAUGAUGCAGAGAAAGUCAACUAAAGCAGAUGCUGGCUGAGUCACAGCGUGAUGAAGCAUUGCUAACCCAAGACGUGAAUCGAGAGCACGUGGGGGAUACUGCUUUUAUGCUGAACUAGGAAGACAGCAGCCGCCAUCAAAGCCAGAAUCGAACAUAAAAUUUAACAAUCAAACACGACAAAAACAGUUUAAAAAUGGAUUUGUACUUUGUUUAUCAUCUGUUCCCCCAUGUUAGAAUGUUAGCUCUAUGAGAACAGAGCUUUCACUUCUGCUUCCUCUCCACUGUGUCUUCAGGACAACAAACACUGCC